UACUAGCCGGGGAGAUAGCGGUGCCCUGUAUCUACAACCCGCUUUAGUAGAGGUGAUGUCAGACUUGAGGGAGAUUUUAGUGUCAACGCCUUAUUUAAAGAAUGUUGAGAAAAUAGUCCUAUAUUGUAGAGAGUUGGUGAACCGUGUCAGGUUGGGAACAAAGCAGCACUAAGUCAAUUUCUCUAGGUUUAUAGGGUAGCUGUUUUUGAGUUCUU
Molecule: signal recognition particle RNA, 215 nt
Filed under: human oral metagenome
Description: Bacterial large signal recognition particle RNA
Rfam family: Bacterial large signal recognition particle RNA
About the family: The signal recognition particle (SRP) is a universally conserved ribonucleoprotein involved in the co-translational targeting of proteins to membranes. Archaeal SRP consists of a 7S RNA and homologues of the eukaryotic SRP19 and SRP54 proteins. In most bacteria, the SRP consists of a 4.5S RNA and the Ffh protein (a homologue of the eukaryotic SRP54 protein).
Source: RNAcentral